RNAcentral lists this long non-coding RNA (466 nucleotides) under Pongo abelii (Sumatran orangutan). Its description in RNAcentral is "lincRNA". Lineage: Eukaryota; Metazoa; Chordata; Mammalia; Primates; Hominidae. The record is from RNAcentral.
GGUGGAGGCGGAAGUGACUGAUCAAUUCAGGGGUGUGGGGUUCGUUUAGGUUUUGCCCUGUGUAUGACCUCUUUUGGAGCCAUGAAACCAGCCUCAAGCUUUAUUCUAGGGAGGUGGCUUUUCUACAAUAUAAAGAUGGAAAUGGGAUGAAGAUGUUCAUUGCAAAUUAGGAAAGCUCUUCCACAAGUUCACCAAUGGAAAUAACAUCAAGAGUUUUUCAUCGUCUUAGUGUGCAAGAUAAAUAUCAAGGAGUGCAAUUCCUGGAUUUAUGAUGUCUGAGGAAUAGUCUUAGUGGAUUAUCCCAAACUUGACACAUUUUUUGCAAAAUGCUAUACAAAAAGAAGAUACAUGUGAUUAUGACAAGAUUCUCCACUUGGUGUGACCGGUCUCAUACAACCCAAGGCUGUGUGUCCAAACGCAAUUGCACUGAUCUUGACAAUAAUCAAAAUGUAGCCAGGUGCAUUGG